CAAAAAAACAAAUCUGAGUUUUCGUGUUCAACGUUUAACCAUCCGUCUUAUUUGAUAAAAUUAUGAAAAAAAUUAAAAAGACAAGUCACGCAUUAAAUAUUAAUCAUGUUUUAUCAUCUAACAACAAUGAAAAUACUAAUUAUAAAAAAUUCAUAUAAGAGGAACAAUCAAAUGUUGAACACGAAAAACUAAGGUUUGUCUUUUU
Oryza sativa Japonica Group (Japanese rice) is the source of this 205-nucleotide microRNA precursor. It matches the Rfam family "MIR812 microRNA precursor family". The record is from Rfam. Lineage: Eukaryota; Viridiplantae; Streptophyta; Magnoliopsida; Poales; Poaceae.